AUACGGAGGAUGCAAGCGUUAUCCGGAUUUAUUGGGUUUAAAGGGUGCGUAGGCGGUUUGCUAAGCGGGAGGUGAAAUGCCGGCGCUCAACGUCGGAAGUGCCUCCCGAACUGGUGGACUUGAAUGACUCUGCCGUGGGAGGAAUGUGUAGGGUAGCGGCGAAAUGCUUAGAGAUUACACAGAACACCGAUUGCGAAGGCAUCUCACGAAGGGUUGAUUGACGCUGAGGCACGAGAGCGUGGGGAUCAAACAGGAUUAGAUACCCUGGUAGUCCACGCAGUAAACGAUGAUGGCUAACCGCUGGGCUUAUCAGUUCAGUGGCCAAGCGAAAGCGAUAAGCCAUCCACCUGGGGAGUACGACCGCAAGGUUGAAACUCAAAUGAAUUGACGGGG
Molecule: ribosomal RNA, 393 nt
Filed under: uncultured bacterium
Lineage: Bacteria
Description: partial 16S ribosomal RNA
Rfam family: Bacterial small subunit ribosomal RNA
Source: RNAcentral